GGAUUCCCCUAGUAACUGCGAGUGAAGCGGGAAAAGCUCAAAUUUAAAAUCUGGCAGUUCUUGCAGCUGUCCGAGUUGUAAUUUAGAGAAGUGCUAUCCGUGCUGGACCGUGUACAAGUCUCCUGGAACGGAGCGUCAUAGAGGGUGAGAAUCCCGUACAUGACACGGACUACCAGUGCAUUGUGAUGCGCUCUCAAAGAGUCGAGUUGUUUGGGAAUGCAGCUCAAAAUGGGUGGUAAAUUCCAUCUAAAGCUAAAUACAGGCGAGAGACCGAUAGCGAACAAGUACCGUGAGGGAAAGAUGAAAAGAACUUUGGAAAGAGAGUUAAACAGUACGUGAAAUUGUUGAAAGGGAAACGCUUGAAGUCAGUCGCGUUGUUCAGGGAUCAGCCUUGCUCUGCUUGGUGUACUUCCUGUUCGACGGGUCAGCAUCAGUUUUGACCGCUGGAAAAAGUUCUCAGGAAUGUGACAUCUUCGGAUGUGUUAUAGCCUGAGUCCGUAUACAGCGGUUGGGACUGAGGACUCAGCACUUAGAUGCUUGGGAUGCUGGCAUAAUGGCUUUAAGCGACCCGUCUUGAAACACGGACCAAGGAGUCUAACAUGCCCGCGAGUGUUUGGGUGGAAAACCCGAGCGCGUAAUGAAAGUGAAAAGUUGGGAUCUCUGUCGUGGAGAGCACCGACGCCCGGACCUGAUGUUUUCGGACGGAUCUGCGGUAGAGCGUGUAUGUUGGGACCCGAAAGAUGGUGAACUAUGCCUGAAUAGGGCGAAGCCAGAGGAAACUCUGGUGGAGGCUCGUAGCGAUUCUGACGUGCAAAUCGAUCGUCGAAUUUGGGUAUAGGGG
This 841-nucleotide ribosomal RNA is filed under the name Pterula cf. loretensis. RNAcentral's name for it is "partial large subunit ribosomal RNA". It matches the Rfam family "Eukaryotic large subunit ribosomal RNA", at positions 72 to 923 of the family's 3401-position model. The record is from RNAcentral. Lineage: Eukaryota; Fungi; Basidiomycota; Agaricomycetes; Agaricales; Pterulaceae.